RNAcentral lists this small RNA (27 nucleotides) under Bombyx mori (domestic silkworm). RNAcentral's name for it is "ovarian small RNA-11799". Lineage: Eukaryota; Metazoa; Arthropoda; Insecta; Lepidoptera; Bombycidae. The record is from RNAcentral.
AGAAUUAUGUGGGUUAUCCGAAUCAAU